Molecule: transfer RNA, 92 nt
Filed under: Planctomycetia bacterium
Lineage: Bacteria; Pseudomonadati; Planctomycetota; Planctomycetia
Description: tRNA-Ser
Rfam family: tRNA
About the family: Transfer RNA (tRNA) molecules are approximately 80 nucleotides in length. Their secondary structure includes four short double-helical elements and three loops (D, anti-codon, and T loops).
Source: RNAcentral
CGGAGAGGUGGCAGAGCGGUCGAAUGCGCGUCUUUGCUAAAGACGUGUCCGGUCAAAAGCUGGACCGCGGGUUCGAAUCCCGCCCUCUCCGU